This 198-nucleotide unclassified non-coding RNA is filed under the name Glomeraceae sp. RNAcentral's name for it is "partial contains 5.8S ribosomal RNA and internal transcribed spacer 2". The stretch from base 1 to 71 matches the Rfam family "5.8S ribosomal RNA", at positions 84 to 154 of the family's 154-position model. The record is from RNAcentral. Lineage: Eukaryota; Fungi; Glomeromycota; Glomeromycetes; Glomerales; Glomeraceae.
GUGAAUCAUCGAAUUUUUGAACGCAAAUUGCACUCUCUGGUAUUCCGGAGAGUAUGCCUGUUUGAGGGUCAGUUUAAAUAAAAAUCGGUGUGGUUGCUGCCUUUCGUGGUGACGUACCGGAUUUGGGUCGUCUUGCCCUCGGUUAAGUGACCUAAAUUUUGGAUUGUUUUUUCCGAAGUUAUUUAAUUGAUUUUAGUA